UACGAAGGGGGGCUAGCGUUGCUCGGAAUCACUGGGCGUAGAGGGUGCGUAGGCGGGUCUUUAAGUCAGAGGUGAAAUCCUGGAGCUCAACUCCAGAACUGCCUUCGAAACUGGCGAUCUUGAGUCCGGGAGAGGUGAGUGGAACUGCGAGUGUAGAGGUGAAAUUCGUAGAUAUUCGCAAGAACACCAGUGGCGAAGGCGGCUCACUGGCCCGGUACUGACGCUGAGGUGCGAAAGCGUGGGGAGCAACAGG
RNAcentral lists this ribosomal RNA (253 nucleotides) under uncultured bacterium. RNAcentral describes it as "partial 16S ribosomal RNA". It matches the Rfam family "Bacterial small subunit ribosomal RNA", at positions 524 to 775 of the family's 1533-position model. The record is from RNAcentral.